AUUAAUAAUUAAUAUAUUUAAUAAAAAUAAUUUUAAUUUAAUAAAUAUUUUAAUGGGGGUUAAAGUAUUUUUUAAAGAAAAAAUUUUUAAAUUUAUAGUUAAUUAGUAUUGUGAAAGAAUUUUGAAAUAUUAUGAAAAAUAAAAUUUUUAUAAAGUAAUUUUUAUUUAUUGUAUCUUGUGUAUCAGAGUUUAUUAAAAAUUUUUAAUUUAUAAAUUAAUUUCUCGAAUUUAAAAGAGUUAAAUAAUUAUUAAAGUUAUUGUAGCAAAAUUAUUUUAAAUAAUUAUUUAGAAAUGAAAUGUUAAUCGUUUUUAAAUAUAUCUAGUUUUUAUAGAAAAAAAUUUAAUUUUAAAUUUAAAAAUUAUUUAAUUAAUUUAUUAAUUAAAUAAUUAUUUAAAUUUUAUAAUUUAAGGGAUAAGCUUUAAAUUAAAUUUUUAUCAUAUUAAAUUUUUAUUUUGAAAAUUUUAUAAUUUAUAUUGUUAAUAAAUUUUAUUUUGUUAUAAAUAAUUUCAUUUUUUUUAAAAUUUAAAUUUUAUUUAAUUUUUUAUAUAAAAUUUAUUUAUAAUUAUAUAAAGUUAAUUAUAAUGAUAAAAUUAGUAUAUUAUUUAAUAUUAAAUUAAAAUUAAUUUUUGAUUAAUAAUUAAAUUAAUUAAAAGGAAUUCGGCAAAUAUUUAUUUUCACUUGUUUAUCAAAAACAUGUCUUUUUGUUAUUUAAUUUAAAGUCUAAUCUGCCCACUGAUUUAUAAAAAUUGAAGGGCUGCAGUAUAUUGACUGUACAAAGGUAGCAUAAUCAUUAGUCUCUUAAUUGGUGACUUGUAUGAAAGAUUGGAUGAAAAAUAUACUGUCUCUUAAUUAAUAUAUAGAAUUUAAUUUUUUAUUUAAAAAGUUAAAAUAAUUUAAAAAGACGAGAAGACCCUAUAGAGUUUAAUAAAUUAUUUUAUGGAAGUUUUAUUUAUAUUUACUAAUAAUUUUAUAAAUUUAUUUAUUUUGUUGGGGUGAUAAAAAAAUAAAUUUAACUUUUUUUAAGUAAUUUACAUGAAUAAGUGAUUAAU
RNAcentral lists this ribosomal RNA (1050 nucleotides) under Biston falcata. RNAcentral describes it as "partial 16S ribosomal RNA". Lineage: Eukaryota; Metazoa; Arthropoda; Insecta; Lepidoptera; Geometridae. The record is from RNAcentral.